RNAcentral lists this ribosomal RNA (468 nucleotides) under uncultured bacterium. RNAcentral describes it as "partial 16S ribosomal RNA". It matches the Rfam family "Bacterial small subunit ribosomal RNA", at positions 28 to 507 of the family's 1533-position model. The record is from RNAcentral.
GACGAACGCUGGCGGCGUGCUUAACACAUGCAAGUCGAACGGAAAGGCCCUGCUUUUGUUGGGUGCUCGAGUGGCGAACGGGUGAGUAACACGUGAGUAACCUGCCCUUGACUUUGGGAUAACUUCAGGAAACUGGGGCUAAUACCGGAUAUGAGCUCCUGCUGCAUGGGGGGGGUUGGAAAGUUUCGGCGGUUGGGGAUGGACUCGCGGCUUAUGAGCUUGUUUGUGGGGUAGUUGCUUACCAAGGCUUUGACGGGUAGCCGGCCUGAGAGGGUGACCGGCCACAUUGGGACUGAGAUACGGCCCAGACUCCUACGGGAGGCAGCAGUGGGGAAUAUUGCACAAUGGGCGGAAGCCUGAUGCAGCAACGCCGCGUGCGGGAUGACGGCCUUCGGGUUGUAAACCGAUUUCGCCUGUGACGAAGCGUGAGUGACGGUAAUGGGUAAAGAAGCACCGGCUAACUACGUG